RNAcentral lists this ribosomal RNA (373 nucleotides) under uncultured organism. RNAcentral describes it as "bacterial SSU rRNA". It matches the Rfam family "Bacterial small subunit ribosomal RNA", at positions 526 to 896 of the family's 1533-position model. The record is from RNAcentral.
CGGGGGGAGCAAGCGUUGUUCGGAUUUACUGGGCGUAAAGGGCGCGUAGGCGGCGUGACAAGUCACUUGUGAAAUCUCCGGGCUUAACCCGGAGCGGUCAAGUGGUACUGUCGUGCUAGAGUGCGGAAGGGGCAACUGGAAUUCUCGGUGUAGCGGUGAAAUGCGUAGAUAUCGAGAGGAACACCUGCGGCGAAGGCGGGUUGCUGGGCCGACACUGACGCUGAGGCGCGAAAGCCAGGGGAGCGAACGGGAUUAGAUACCCCGGUAGUCCUGGCCUUAAACGAUGGAUGCUUGGUGUCCGGGGUAAUAAAGUCCCCGGGUGCCGUCGCUAACGCUUUAAGCAUCCCGCCUGGGGAGUACGCACGCAAGUGUG